UACAGAAACUCCUUAUGGUCCUAUUACGCAUCACGGCUUAUUUCUUUGGUUGAGUAAGAUUUCCAGCUGACACAUGGUAGUUUCUAGAAGUGCUUAACCUUGAGAGGCGGCAGGACAGCGACUGGCUCACAGCAUGCCCUGCGGCUCUUCUGAUCGGCAGAAGAGAGCUUUUUCUCCCCAACUGCUGCGGCCCUGACCUUCAUCAAUCAGCCCAACACCCCAUCCUUCAGCCAAAGGAACAGCAGAUCCUUAAGAAGCGGUUUUUUUCCUUGUUUUUCUCUUGGAAUGUUCCUACCACAAGAUCAAAGCCACGCUCAGAAAAAAAUCUCUGCGUGGUAUCUUCGCUGGAAUUUUUUUUCUCAGCACAAAACAAGAAAGAGCAGCAGCGUUGGCCCCGUGGUCAGAAGCUCUUAUCCCAGAGGGCACAUCGCCACAAUGGCGAAAGAGGACGGCUCUUGACAGUGACAGCGCCACCCGGCCCCUCCAGCCUCAUCUUGCUCCUUGGGAACGAAACGUCUUGUGCUCCUAACACUCAGCUGCUGGCUCCAAGGCCUCCCCCCAGCUGGAGACACUCGGAGUAAUAGACAGCGACGACACGGAUUCCGGGCAGCGACAGCAGCCUGCUUAGAGCUUCAUUCGGCGCUUGCUUCCUCCCCCGUUUAUCUCCUAGAUUAAAACUCUCCGAAGGCAGGAGCUGCGUCUGCUUACUCUGCACGAUCCCGAAGCUCCCGGAGGGACGUUUCGGCAGGAGUGGCACAGUGUCGGAGAAGAGGGUGGAAGAGGACGGGGACACUCGCCCUCCGCAUGUCCCAGAGGAAAAAAAAUAACGUGUAACUUGGAGAUUCAGUGAAACCUUCCAGUGGACAUGAGGCUCGCUGUGCAAAUCGCAGGAACUCGGCCGCGUUUCUGUUUGUUCCACGGCAGCCGGCGUCUUGCGUGCACUCACCUGCGUCGUGUGGCAGUUCUGUCCCACACGGGCUGGGCCACCCUGCGGUAGUCCCUUGAGCCCUCCGUGUCCUCAUCUGCAAAGGAGGAAAGUGAUGUCGGCCUCACAGGGACCUUUGUAAAACACUCGGCAGAGCGCUGGAAAAAUAGGACGUGGCAUGUCAGCAGUUGCUAUUGCUUGAUGUCAUUGUCACAUGGAUAGAUCCGCCGUGGAUUUGAAAAGAGAGCUGAGAUUCUAAGUCAGAGCAGAAUGCUAUUGAAAUAGUGGUGGGUUUGGGAAUUUGGA
This 1231-nucleotide long non-coding RNA is filed under the name Microcebus murinus (gray mouse lemur). RNAcentral's name for it is "lncRNA (ENSMICG00000048305.1)". Lineage: Eukaryota; Metazoa; Chordata; Mammalia; Primates; Cheirogaleidae. The record is from RNAcentral.